RNAcentral lists this ribosomal RNA (504 nucleotides) under uncultured alveolate. RNAcentral describes it as "SSU rRNA". It matches the Rfam family "Eukaryotic small subunit ribosomal RNA", at positions 58 to 570 of the family's 1831-position model. The record is from RNAcentral.
UCUAAGUAUAAAUGUUAUACAGUGAAACUGCGAAUGGCUCAUUAAAACAGUUAUAGUUUAUUUGAUAAUCGAAUUUACAUGGAUAACCGUGGUAAUUCUAGAGCUAAUACAUGCUGGUUAGCCUGACUUUUAGGAAGGGCUGUAUUUAUUAGAUAACAAACCAAUAUUCCUUGUGUCUAUUGUGAUGACUCAUAAUAACUGAUCGGAUCGCAUGGGCUUUGCCCGCGACACAUCAUUCAAGUUUCUGCCCCAUCAGCUUUCGAUGGUAGUGUAUUGGACUACCAUGGCUUUAACGGGUAACGGAGGAUUAGGGUUCGAUUCCGGAGAGGGAGCCUGAGAAACGGCUACCACAUCUAAGGAAGGCAGCAGGCGCGUAAAUUACCCAAUCGCGACUCGCGGAGGUAGUGACAAGAAAUAACGGACCGAAGCGUAUGUUUCGGGAUUGCAAUGAGUAGAAUUUAAACCCCUUUACGAGGAUCAAUUGGAGGGCAAGUCUGGUGCCAG